CUAAGGGGGACAGGUCCCUGGGGAAGCAGAGGGCCUGAGGCAUGGACCAGGAUGACCUGGGCUACCUGCAUGGAAACCUCUUUCUCCUGCCAGGAGAGCCCUGGAACUAAGCCUGGCUCUGGUAAAUAGCUCCAAUGUGCGAGCCAUGAUGCAAGAGCUGCAGGCCUUUCUGGAGUCCUGCCCUCCUGACCUACGGGCUGACUGUGCCUCAGGCAUCCUGCUGGCUGCAGAGAGGUUUGCUCCAACCAAACGCUGGCACAUAGACACCAUCCUGCAUGUGCUGACAACGGUGAGGCAGGGGCCAGUCAGAGAGCUGGGCAGAAGUGGUCAAGAUUCACCACACUGACUUGGCCAUGCCCACACCUUCCAGGCGGGCACCCAUGUGCGGGAUGAUGCAGUGGCCAACCUGACCCAGCUGAUUGGGGGGGCCCAGGAGCUACAUGCCUACUCUGUGCGCCGCCUCUACAAUGCCCUGGCAGAAGACAUUUCCCAGGUACCAUUCCCACCUACCUAGGCCCAGGGCUGCCCAACCACUCCCUUGCCCAUCCUGGGCCACCUCCUCCCUACUAGAUUCCAAUUUUUCUCUCAAGGUCACAGCUGCUUACACAGUGCAGAAGACAUCUGAGCACAGAGCCCUGUUUUUAAGAACAUCUGGGCUUUUGUCCUGACUCUGGUACCUCCUGGUUAUGUAACUACAGAUGACUAACUUCCCUUAUGCUCCAUGUACCCUGACUGCCUCUUAGAGCUGCCUUGAGAUUAAAGCUCUUGUGUUUAUGAGGUUUUAUUAUUACCUUGAAUGCUGAAUGAAUUAACAGAUGCCAGCCAGUAUCUAUAGCCCCCUUUUCCAUCUUAAUUAAAUAGGGUGGGCAGAAAGCAUCAUCCACCCCUUCCACAAGGGAGGGACCCUCUCACAUUUCCAUCCUGUUUGGUUAGGCCAUGUAGUUCUGAUGCUUGGCCACCAGAGGGCAGUGGGAGCCAGGUAACAAACUUCCCUUUCCCCACUCCUCCAACCCCCCACCAUCUCUGCACUGCCUAAAGGGAUAUUGCCAGGUCUGGAAGUGAGGAGGGGACCUCAGACACUGGCCCAGCAGUGUUUCUUUCUUUCUCUCUCUCUCUUUUUUUUUUUAAAAUAGAGAUGGGGGGGGUCUCGCUUUGUUGCCCAGGCUGGUCUUGAACUCCUGGUCUCAAGCAAUCCUCCCGCCUCAGCCUCCCAAUGCGCUGGGAUUACAGGCUUGAGCCACCAUGCCUGGCCAGCCCAGCAGUUUCUUAUCCCAUGUAGCAACCACUGGUGCAGGUGGCAGCCUGGUGCAUUGGGGAGUAUGGGGACCUCCUGCUGGCAGGGAACUGCGAGGAGAUUGAGCCCCUUCAGGUGGACGAAGAGGAAGUGCUGGCAUUGCUGGAAAAGGUGCUGCAGUCCCACAUGUCCCUGCCAGCCACUCGAGGAUAUGCCCUCACAGCCCUCAUGAAGCUCAGCACUCGCCUCUGUGGGGACAACAAGUAAGAAGGGGUCCCAGCCCCUUGAGAGAUGGCCUGUCACUGGGUCCACCCAUUUUUGAGUUUCUUUCCAGGCAUACAUGCCCAGCCCUCCCUACCCCCUAGCCCUUAGGUUCUUGUUUUUGAGCCAAAUCUGGGUAUUUCCCUGCUCCGUGGGCCUUUCCUUCUUGCCACAUCCUGCAGUGGCACACUGCCAUAGCCACUUACAUACUACACUGGCCCAGCCGCAUCCGCCAGGUGGUGUCCAUCUACGGGAGCUGCUUGGACGUGGAGCUGCAGCAGCGGGCUGUGGAGUAUGACACACUCUUCCGGAAAUACGACCACAUGAGGUGUGUCCAGCACUGUGCUGCAGCAUGGGACCCAAACCCCUGCCCUCUCCCAAAUGCCCUUUUCUAGGUACAAGGGCCUCAUCCUCACCUGUGUUCUUCCAUAUCCACGGUGAGAGCUUCCCACCCACUGUUAAUUGAAGCUAAGCUGGCUUCCAACCCUCCUUGUUCAUCUGAAAAUCAGCAACAACAUGUCAUUUUAGGAAAUCAGAAGGGUACUUCUGAGCCACCAUGUGCCCAGGGCUCCAUAUUCCUAGUCCUCAUCCUAGAUGCCUCUUGUGAAAGGCCCAGAGACCACACAGAGGCACACUUGCAUUCCAUCCUCUCAGGGCUGCCAUCCUGGAAAAAAUGCCUCUUGUGGAGCGAGAUGGCCCUCAGGCUGAUGAGGAAGCAAAGGAAAGCAAAGAAGCAGCCCAGCUUUCAGAAGCAGCCCCAGUGCCCACAGAGCCCCAGGCCUCACAGCUCCUGGAUCUGCUAGAUCUCCUGGAUGGGGCUUCUGGGGAUGUCCAGCAUCCUCCCCAUCUGGACCCCUCCCCAGGAGGUGCCCUGGUACACCUGCUUGACCUUCCCUGUGUACCUCCACCCCCAGCUCCCAUCCCAGAUCUCAAAGUGUUUGAGCGUGAGGGAGUACAGCUGAAUCUGUCUUUCAUUCGACCCCCUGAAAACCCUGCUUUGCUGUUAAUCACCAUCACUGCCACCAACUUCUCAGAGGGUGAUGUCACCCAUUUCAUCUGCCAGGCUGCUGUGCCCAAGAGUCUCCAGCUGCAGCUGCAGGCCCCCAGUGGGAACACAGUUCCAGCUCGGGGUGGCCUUCCUAUCACCCAGCUCUUCAGAAUCCUCAAUCCUAACAAGGCCCCCCUGCGGCUAAAGCUGCGCCUCACCUACGACCACUUUCACCAGUCGGUGCAGGAGAUCUUUGAGGUGAACAACUUGCCUGUGGAAUCGUGGCAGUAACUGUCUCCACUCACAGCCUGAAAUUCUCCUGUGUCCCAAACCCCAGGGGGCCCCAGCAGCUUCGAACCUACACCUGAGGGCUACCAGCAGGUGGCGCUCUGGCUUUGCACUGCAAAAACUGGGGACCAGCCCCCUUCUCCCACAAAUAAAGCCCAAUAAAGCCUGAGAAGUGAGGAAAGCC
Molecule: long non-coding RNA, 2955 nt
Filed under: Homo sapiens (human)
Lineage: Eukaryota; Metazoa; Chordata; Mammalia; Primates; Hominidae
Description: non-protein coding lnc-JPH4-1:15
Source: RNAcentral